This 253-nucleotide ribosomal RNA is filed under the name uncultured bacterium. Its description in RNAcentral is "partial 16S ribosomal RNA". It matches the Rfam family "Bacterial small subunit ribosomal RNA", at positions 524 to 776 of the family's 1533-position model. The record is from RNAcentral.
UACGAAGGGUGCUAGCGUUUUUCGGAUUUACUGGGCGUAAAGCGUAUGUAGGCUGUUUGAUUGGUCAGAUGUGAAAUCCUGGGGCUCAACCCCAGAACUGCAUUUGAUACCGUCAAGCUUGAGUAUGAUAGAGGGUAGUGGAAUUCCGAGUGUAGAGGUGGAAUUUGUAGAUAUUCGGAGGAACACCAGUGGCGAAAGCGGCUACCUGGAUCAUUACUGACGCUGAGAUACGAAAGUGUGGGGAGCAAACAGG